This 766-nucleotide ribosomal RNA is filed under the name uncultured bacterium. RNAcentral describes it as "bacterial SSU rRNA". It matches the Rfam family "Bacterial small subunit ribosomal RNA", at positions 28 to 776 of the family's 1533-position model. The record is from RNAcentral.
AUUGAACGCUGGCGGCAGGCCUAACACAUGCAAGUCGAGCGGCAGCGACUUAACUGAACCUUCGGGGAACGUUAAGGGCGGCGAGCGGCGGACGGGUGAGUAAUGCCUGGGAAUAUGCCCUGAUGUGGGGGAUAACUAUUGGAAACGAUAGCUAAUACCGCAUAAUCUCUUCGGAGCAAAGAGGGGGACCUUCGGGCCUCUCGCGUCAGGAUUAGCCCAGGUGGGAUUAGCUUGUUGGUGAGGUAAUGGCUCACCAAGGCAACGAUCCCUAGCUGGUCUGAGAGGAUGAUCAGCCACACUGGAACUGAGACACGGUCCAGACUCCUACGGGAGGCAGCAGUGGGGAAUAUUGCACAAUGGGGGAAACCCUGAUGCAGCCAUGCCGCGUGUGUGAAGAAGGCCUUCGGGUUGUAAAGCACUUUCAGUAGGGAGGAAGGUAGUGUAGUUAACACCUGCACUAUUUGACGUUACCUACAGAAGAAGCACCGGCUAACUCCGUGCCAGCAGCCGCGGUAAUACGGAGGGUGCGAGCGUUAAUCGGAAUUACUGGGCGUAAAGCGCAUGCAGGCGGCCUGUUAAGUCAGAUGUGAAAGCCCGGGGCUUAACCUCGGAAUUGCAUUUGAAACUGGCAGGCUAGAGUCUUGUAAGGGGGGUAGAAUUUCAGGUGUAGCGGUGAAAUGCGUAGAGAUCUGAAGGAAUACCAGUGGCGAACGCGGCCCCCUGGACAAAGACUGACGCUCAAUGCGAAACGUGGGGAGCAAACAGG